RNAcentral lists this ribosomal RNA (430 nucleotides) under uncultured bacterium. Its description in RNAcentral is "partial 16S ribosomal RNA". It matches the Rfam family "Bacterial small subunit ribosomal RNA", at positions 354 to 796 of the family's 1533-position model. The record is from RNAcentral.
GUGGGGAAUAUUGCACAAUGGGCGCAAGCCUGAUGCAGCAACGCCGCGUGAGGGACGACGGCCUUCGGGUUGUAAACCUCUUUUAGCAGGGAAGAAGCGAAAGUGACGGUACCUGCAGAAAAAGCACCGGCUAACUACGUGCCAGCAGCCGCGGUAAUACGUAGGGUGCAAGCGUUGUCCGGAAUUAUUGGGCGUAAAGAGCUCGUAGGCGGUUUGUCGCGUCUGAUGUGAAAACCCGAGGCUCAACCUCGGGCCUGCAGUGGGUACGGGCAGACUAGAGUGCGGUAGGGGAGAUUGGAAUUCCUGGUGUAGCGGUGGAAUGCGCAGAUAUCAGGAGGAACACCGAUGGCGAAGGCAGAUCUCUGGGCCGUAACUGACGCUGAGGAGCGAAAGCGUGGGGAGCGAACAGGAUUAGAAACCCCAGUAGUCC